Molecule: ribosomal RNA, 432 nt
Filed under: uncultured bacterium
Lineage: Bacteria
Description: bacterial SSU rRNA
Rfam family: Bacterial small subunit ribosomal RNA
Source: RNAcentral
CAAGUUUUGAUGGCGACCGGCGCACGGGUGAGUAACACGUAUCCAAACCUGCCGAUGACUCGGGGAUAGCCUUUCGAAAGAAAGAUUAAUACCCGAUGGCAUAGUUCUUCCGCAUGGUAGAACUAUUAAAGAACUUCGGUCAUCGAUGGGGAUGCGUUCCAUUAGGUUGUUGGCGGGGUAACGGCCCACCAAGCCUUCGAUGGAUAGGGGUUCUGAGAGGAAGGUCCCCCACAUUGGAACUGAGACACGGGUCCAAACUCCUACGGGAGGCAGCAGUGAGGAAUAUUGGUCAAUGGACGAGAGUCUGAACCAGCCAAGUAGCGUGAAGGAUGACUGCCCUAUGGGUUGUAAACUUCUUUUAUACGGGAAUAAAGUGAGGCCACGUGUGCCUUUUUGUAUGUACCGUAUGAAUAAGGAUCGGCUAACUCCGUG